This 31-nucleotide non-coding RNA is filed under the name Mus musculus (house mouse). The record is from RNAcentral. Lineage: Eukaryota; Metazoa; Chordata; Mammalia; Rodentia; Muridae.
UGACAGUGGAUCAUACUUCUUUGUAUGAUGU